GUGUGAUUUCGGCAGUGUGCGUGGUGUGAGAUAGCAGCUUCCCUCGGCGCUGUAUCUCCGUAAGUGGCAGAGACACGAAAACAGACACAGAAUGCUGCAAACAGACUGAUUUAGCCUUCCUGCCCCUUCAUUCACAGCAACUUCAAUGAAUGCAGAACGAGCUGUUAGAUCAGCACCGUCUGACAUCAGUGACACCGGCAAUACACAUAGCAAACCAUACAGAGCACGAUAUAAAUGCCCUUAAAAGCGCUUGGUUUCAACCAGUUCUUAUGCAUGUGCAAAUACAAGAGGUGAUCUGUUCAUGUGUGCUGGCUUACAUAAAUGCAGAUCCUACAUACAAGCUGCAUAUCCAUCGCUGCUUAAAACCACCCACAGCAUCACAUUGUGAGAAAGUGAUCUGGAAGGAAAAUAUCUUUAUCUUACCUCUGUAUUGGCACAAGGAGUGAGGAGAGGGGACAGUGAUAUAAAGUGAUGGCUUCCAAGGCGCUGUGUUGCCCUGCAUCCUUCCUAGCAAGGAUGUGUAAUUAGCCAGUGUCCAGAUAAGGAUUUCUUGCCAGCGUGCCUGCACCUCACAGGACAGUUCUGACCAAAUAUUGAUGAGUUAGAUCUGAUGCCCUAGUUUAGGUACAAGAAUUGGUUACUCCAUGCUCAUAUUACAUUUAUCCUUUUUUAUCAGCAGGAUUAAUCUGUGUUGCCAAAUGUUGCUUGAAUACAGUUACAUCACUUCUUGGACCACUGCAUCACACUGCACGUAUGUAGAUAUGCUCUAACUGUACCAACAACAAAAUGGUCAUGGUUCAUAGUUGGUUCCUUCUGUUAUGUACUCUGUAUGUCAUUAUUGGUUUCCUUUUUUGAGCUUGUUUCCAAAAAGGCUCAUAGAAAAGUAUUUAGGCACAGCAGAACCAUGGCCUGUGCAAUUAGAGGUUGGCAGUGUAUAAAAAAAAGCAGUCCAACUGGUUAACAGGCAGAAAUGUAGCUAGGAAAGUAGAGUUUGCAUUCUACCUAAUGUCGGUGAACUCUUGGUGUUCUCUAGGAUUCACUAUUCCUGCUACAGACUGACAACUCCGCUUUUCUUGUUUCUCUCUCAUCCAUUGAGAACGGAGGAUUUAAUUCUUCCCAUUCUUUUAUAUCUUUUGAACAUAGACACAAGUGCUCAGUGAACUUUGGGACAAGAAUGGCUGAACUGAGGACUGCUCCAGAGCUGUUUCUCCUCCAGAGAAGAAUUUCCUUUACAGUCACUGUCCUGCACAAAACUGAUGCAUUGGAAUCAAUACCUGAUCAUGCUGGCAUCAUUUCAUACUGGCAAAGUGCCUGAUGAGACUCCAGUUGGGACCACCAAACUCACUGCGCUCAUUACCUCAGCUGGUUUCAAACGGGGGCAUUCAUUCUUCCUCCUACGGUACUAUUUCAUUCCUCUUAAAUUGGGGCUAUUAAAAUGUUUCAGCCAUUUCAUGUUACUAAAACGUAUUAAAAUGCUGCAAAAAUGCUGCAUCAAAGUGGAGAGGUUUGAAAACUGCAGCUCUGUGAUAGGAUAAUGCAGUUUAAAUAUAGUAACUGUUUGGGUUUGGUUUUUUUUUCCCAGUCAGCUUGCUCUUUGAUUUCAUGGCAUUAUGUCUAGGGAUUUUUUCCCCUCUCUCUCUUUAAGAAGCUUACAGCUUAAACAGCAACAUGCAAAAAAUACAGGGAUGAAACAGUAACAGAAACCCAGUAGAAAAAUCAGUGAUUAAAUAUGGGUUUGAAUGUUGGUAAUUAAGAUAAUCUGAAUUCAUUCUUUAUCAAUUUUUCUUCUUAGGAAAUAUACAUUCCAGAACCAGCAGCAGGUAGAAUUUGUCUACCACAGAGGCUGAGGGACCGUGCAUACAAAGGAUAGUGUUGCUGCUGGGAGAUUUCUAGAACUGGAUCACUGUUCCUGCACAGAACAGCUGCUCGCUGCCUUGGUAGAGCAGAAGAGACGGUGAGCCAGAUUCUGGCCUCAGUGACAAUAAGAGAUGGUAGUUUGGCUUGGCAGAUUUCUUCUCUUAUUUCUUUGUCCUAUUGAUAGUUACUUAGUUUAUCACUGAAGACUCCGUUAGAAUAUUUGCCACAAUCAUCUCCAUUUCCCUGUUUGGAAAAAUCUUUCUCUCUAUCCCAAUACUGACGUCAGUAGGGGAUCUAAAAGUAUGGGAGAGAGCAACAUUUUUAUCAGAACCAAAAUCCAUCCGACAUAUCUGAAAAAAUAAUAUUAUCCUUAUCUGAUGGCCAAGUCAUUUCUCUUAAAGGGAAAUCAGCUUCACUGCUAUCUUAAAAAUGCACAACAACUUUAGAUACAAAGCACUGGUUGGUGCCCACGAGAUUUGAAUUAUGUUCUCAUCCUGACCUGAAUUUUCCAUCUAAUUAAGGUCUAAUUCUAAUUAAUUUGGCAGCUAGCUGCCAUUUUUUUUUCCUUUGUAAAUAUCCCUUGUGAGCUUCUAGAUCUCAGUUUUACUAUCUGUAGAAGUGGCUAGGGAUACUACCAAGCUUGUAAGGAUAUGCAGGGUCAGCCACAGUACUGAUGGAAUGGCAGAGCUUGUUGUUAGGAAGGUGUUACAAAACUGACCUAUACUUUAUGUCUGUAAUGAGCUGACUGUUGUGGUCAUGCUGCAUUUUACCUGUAGGCAAUAAAAGUUGCAUUAUUUUGCCAUAGAGUUCGGGCCACACUUGCAGAGGUUGCUUUGGUUUUGAAGCCUGCAGUCAGCAGUCUCUGGCAUUUAGGAGAACAGUGCCUCAAGGUGGACACACAAAUGCACCAGACAGCCCCAUUCCUCAAAGUAUUAAGACAGUUACUUUGGAUGAUUUUCUUUUUGUGGUUCUUGAAUACAUUAGCAACGCUACCAUAGCAUUCAGAGCUUACCUUUCACUCUGUUGAACAUGUAUUUAUGGAGACAGAACCAGUCUUGUACACUGAAAGGAAAAGAGAAUGGAAAUCACUCAUCCACAGUUUUUUUUUUGUCUGGUCCUGCCUGUGAUAGGAAGCAUGAAGGAAAGAAGGAUGUCUGAAAAGUACGCAGUUAACACUUCUCAUAUGUUCCUAUCAGAAUGUUCAUAAUGAUGCUUAUGUUAGCCUGUGAGCAGCAACAGCAACCAGAAUGUUGCUCACUGAUGCCAGUGUUUUGUCUUUUCACUUUCUAUUUACUCCAGCUUUGUCUAGUAAAAGCCUAAUAUUAAAGUGAUCUGAAUUACUUGUUUUUAAAACUUCCUUUUUUUGCAUUUCUUGACCAUAUGAUAAACUAUAGUCAAGGUGGUGGUAUAAACAAUAUAUAUUGUUAUUGUUCUUUGUAGUACUGUACCAUGAGGAGUUCCCCCAUGCAAUGCAUAGCUAUCAUUUCAUAUAUUUACUGAAUCAGUUAUUCCUAUGGCUUUUCAAAAUGGAAAGGGUAACAUCCUUAUGCUCUCCAUGUAGGUGAGUAGCAAUGUGAGGCUGGAAAGCUUUACAUAGUCAUGGAGAUGACCUGAUUUUCAGCCAUUGUUUCAGACAAAUGGCACAUGACUUAUUUAGACUUGUGACAUUUUCUGAUAUGACACAAGCUGAAGUACCUUUCUGUGUUUGGUGCUGAAGAUUUAAUCCAAACUCGUUAAAAUACCAAAGUAACACACUUUAGUUUUCAUUCGAUACUCUUAAGGAAGCUCUUUUAUUAGUUACACAAUAUCUUUAUGUUGACCUUUUUUGUCUCCUGUAACACAAGGCAAAAUCAGAGAUUGAAACCAAAUCAUCUGUUUGGAUUACCAGUUAAAUCUGCAUCACCCAAAACAGUGUUGGGCUUUGUUUUUAAAAAUGCACUGUUUCUUUGGUAGGAGUAAUGGAUGCAAUUGCAUUCCAUCUGUCACCUUCCCCUACCUUUGUCUUUACAUCAGCGUCCUGAGGUGGGAAGAAAAGAGAAGCUGUAGAACUGCCUUCAUUUUCUGUUACUGUGACUAACCAAAUCUGAAUGCAUUUUGCUUUAGUGGAAUUACUGCUGUGUUGAUCUUUCGUGUCUCUUAUUUCUGCUAUUCAAUACAAUCUAUAUAGGUAUUUCACAAAAAUGGCAUGUUGUGGAAAGGGCAAUUCAUUAAUCUCUCAGAACUGAAGGUUUCCAACAUAUCAGAUCUGUUUUUCUGUUUAUUAUACAUAGAUCUCUUUGGUGGUUUGUCAAUGGUGUUACAUGCAAAUUCAGAUCAUCCUGACCUACAAUACUUGUUUUACUUAAAGGCUCCAGAUUUCUAAAAGAUUGUUUGACUCUUGGGUGGUUUUUUUGUGUUUCUUUUUUUUUCCCCCAGCUCAGUUAAAAAAGAAAACCUCUCCUGAGUCAUAUUUUAAAAAUACUGUUAAGCUCUAAAGCUGCUUCUGCUCCUAUGUCACAAAGCAUUAUUGAAAAGAUAUUCAUUUCUGCCUCCUACAAUUGCUCAGACAGAGAGCUUCACACAGAUUCUUUUCCACUCAUGUUGCAACUAUGCUGGCAGCAUCCUUGUUUCCUAGAAGUGUUACAACGAUCUUCCAGAUAUGAACAGGUUGGGCUUAUUAUUAUUUUUUAGAACCAUGCUAUCAAGCUUAUAAUUUAAUAUCAAUAACAUUAUCAAACAUUAUUUUUUAAUCAUCAAUAAUCGUGCUGAUACUCCGAUUACUACUAUCUUAUUCAUUGCUUUCAUUUGAACAUUGUAAUCAAGGAUCUCAGGCAUUUCAAAGACCAUCAUGAAAAUUGCAUUACACAAUAUCCCUGAGAGAACAGUAAAUAUUAUCAUCCCCGUUUCACAGAAGCAGGAGCUGAGGUUCAAAGUCACAAAAUCUAUGGCAGAACUAGAAAUAGAAAUAAGUCUCCUGGCUCUCAGUCCUGUUCUUUCUCCAGUCACCUAAAUAGUCUCUAGUAUAGCUUUGUAAGACAUUUAACACUUCAUUUCCAAAAAUGUCAUCCUCUUCGUUAGGGAAGCUAAAAUUAUAUAUGUUUAAAGAUCAGAUAAAGGAGAAUACCUCAUUUUCGGAUGAGACUGCUGAAAUGAUUCUAGCUGUUUUAUGGACAAUGCCAUCCAAGUUUUGUGAGUUAAUCCUGACCCUAAGUACACCUAAAAUAGAUAUCUGCCUCCAGCUAAUCAACAGGCUUAUGAAGAUCGCCUCAAUAAUUUAUGUAUAACCAACUAGUGGAAACUAGAUCUUCUGUGAUUUCCCUAGAUACAUAUUCUGCAUGUAUCAUGUAUAUCCUUGCCUAUUUCUGAUAUUCAUUUGAAAUUCAGUUGGGACAUUUCAGAACACUAGAACUCCAGCUGCACAGCUCUAAGAAAAAGCCAUGUGGAGACAUAACACAGUACCUUUGAAGCAGGCAAAAUGAUAUUUUAAAUCCAAGAGCACCGUAGAUGAAAAGUCCAAUUUUUUUGUUAACACACAUAUAACCCACAGUUAUAUUUCUACCUCUGUCACUGGCCUACUUGGAUGAGCAUUUUGUUUCUGAGUGCCCUAUUUCUACAGUAAAAAUAAUGACAUUUAACUGCUGCAUUCAUAGAUAAUAUGGUGAUAUGCAAACAGAUAGACGUGAGGUAUGGGAGGAUGAUUAAAUGAAAUUAAAAAAUAAAUCAUCUAAUUUCCUUGUUUACAGCAUAGGAAAUGUGAGAAACAUACGGUAUGUUGUUCAAUGGAGUAGUAAAAUGAAGCUAAGAUUAAAACUUGCUUCGCUGUGGAAAAAACAAAUUUUCUUUUCCAGACUCUGCAAACAGAAAGAAAAACCAUUAGAGACAUUGUCCUACCUUCUUCUGACUGCAAAUUCAAGAAUCAUCAGAUCUGCAGCUGAAAUGGGAGGUACAGUACAAACUGGCUAUUUAGAGUUCAUAAUUGAUAACUUUUAUAAAGAAUCCAUAAUUGGAAAAUAUAUUGUCUGAUAUAUUCUUGGAUAUCAAUUGCUAAAAGACUUGCUCGUGUCUGCUCCCCUGUGCCUGGAAUGCUUUGGACUGUUAACUGUACUUGUUGAGACUAGCUGCAAAAUUCGGGCCAGGCCGUAGCUUCAGUCAUCCACGCAGAAAGUGAAGGGGGAGGAUAAGGCACUCCAGGAAUAAUGCAGGUGUGGCAGAACUUCUGUAGCAGUCACUGAAAGAACAGAGCAAGCUUUGCUGCUGUCCACAUUGACUGACCUGUACAGGUUAGUGCAGCUUUCAGCUGGGGAGUUUAUGGUAGCAUAAACAAAAUUAGAACAAUGCUUCAGUAGCUCUUUAUAUCUGUGUGAAAGGAGUGCAAAUCACUUGUUACAAAUCACGUUGUUUUACACACACCUCUACCCCCUACCACUACUACUUUUAUCAAUCCAAUAAUGUCUGUCUGUUUUCACAGUUAUGUCAACAUGUUCUUCAUAUUUCUGUAUUCUCCUAUUGCACUGGAUCUCUGCACAGCUGAAAUUCCUUCAUGCCUAAGCCUUGGGGCAAUAUGUUGAGUUCACGUACCACUUCCUAGCAUGAAUUUGAUUACCUUUCACAUCUAAGAGUUUUUACAUUUGAAACAUGCCAGAAAAGACCAAGAAGGACAAAUAAGAAUUGCUCUGAGAAUGGUAAAAAUGUGAAUAGUUUCUGGCUUGUAUUUAUGGAGGAUCUGUUUAGGACAUCUGUAGGAAGGGAUCAGCAGAUCUGCUAACUCAUAUUUGCUGUACAAGAACUCAUGGAAAUCCUGCCCUCUCAAAACCUGUGGCUACUCAUCAUCCCUAAGAAAACAUGGAGUCAUGGUUAGCUCUGAAGAGGUCAGGAAGUUGGACUCGAUGAUCUUUGAAGUUCCUUCCCGACCAAACUGUUCCAUUCCAUUCUGUUCCACUGUAUUCUACUAUAUCAUGUUGUCUACAUGAACCUUUUAAACAUUAGACUGCUAUAACCUUCAUGUGUCUGUCCUCUCUCAGGCUGAAUAAAUGUCAAAUGGUACAUUCUGUCCCACUUGUCACAAGUGCUAUUGUAUGUCCACCCUGGAUCCGUAUCAAAUUAGUAUUGAUGAGGGUUUCCAGUCUUUAUUGAAAUACAAUAUAAUGGAGGAUGAAUAGAAACUACAAGUGUGAAAACAGGGCUCAAAUGCUCACUUUUGGAAGCAGCUACAUAAUUUUUGAAGGUCAUUCUCUUACUUCAGAGAUAUUUAAGAUAGUUUUGACAUUUUUAUUAGUAAAGGUUUAUUAGGUUAUUUCAGUUUAUUCUUUGAGGUAUAAACCAGCCAUUGUGGCUUUCACAAGUUUAACUAUGUACAUAUCUGAGAUAAAACUUGUCACUGAUAUACUUCUCAAAACUUCAGGAAAAACUGUACUGUACAUUGAAAUGCCACAGUCUUUGGUCACCCCAGACCUAAAAGUAAAUGAUAUAUAAGAAUCUCCCUUUUCUGAAGGUAUAAUGUUUUCCCUUUAGCUCUGGACUUUACUGGCCUUUCACUUGCCACCAUUGUCAGAAUGAUGAGCAUUUGUUGGCUUGCAAGGCAGUAUCAUUUCAGAAGAAAUUCCACUUGUAAUGGAGAAAGCAAACAUUUCUGUGAGGUAUAUAUACAGUUACUUACAUGAGAAGUGCUUGAAUAAAGAAGACAAGCAUUUAAAAGAAAAUGGCUUUCAACAGACAGAAAUUUUCAACAAACUAUUCAGCUGUAACUCGACUCACACAGAAACAGCAAAUAAAUGAGGCCAAGAUACAUGUCAUACUGAGUCUGCAUUAGCUGGAAGGUUUGGAAAUAAUUAAGAGCAAAACUGUUAAUGCUCCAUUUAAAUAGCUGCUGCCUAUCUGUCCAGUAUGAAAGCUCAAUCUGUUGUGUUCAAUCAGCUUUCAGCUGCUACUUGCCAGCAGCUUAAUUCCCCAGUCUUGUCUCUGUGCUGCGCUUGUGCAUUCCGCUACCUGCUAAGUUAAACCCUGCUGUCCUGAUCCAGCAUGGAGAUUUCUAGUUCUAUGGAAACUAUCCACAGUGGUUCAGACCUGUAAACGGUGCUGAGUAUCCAUACAAACUGACUGAUUUCAGCCCCAUAUGGGUGAAAAGAGAAGUCGGCAGCUACGUACACGAUCAGCACUGUGUUCAGCCCUACCAGUCAGUGUGCAUUUAUGCAGCUUUGACAAGAUGUUGAUCUGCAAUAGUUCCACAUUAGGUCUUCUUUUUAUAAGUGAGGAAACUGGCAAUGCAGAGUUAUUAACCAAAGCCACUAUUAACUAUUAGCACACGUCAGAUGGUAAUAAAUCUCAGUUCUCCUAAAUCUCUUUGUAUUUUAUGAUCAAUAUACUGACUAAUUGUAUUUAUAUUGCAUAAGGAUUUGAGAAUCAUCAACUAGACCCCUUAAUGCCGAGUGUGUGCAAAUUGUGAAUCAGUUCUAAGAAGGACUCUGCUGAGGUCUGGUAGUUACAGAGCUCUAUGGGUAGUGCUAGAAAUACAUUGUCAUGAAAUGUGCUUCAGGUUGAGAAACUUUCUGAGCCUCAAAGCUGGACCACUAGCUUUUUUCCUCAGAAAUACAUACUAAAAAUGGCAAAGUUCAUUGCACUGUCAUUUGCAAGGAACUAAAGAGUAAUUCGUUGACCUUUGCAGAUUAGGUAAUGCAUAGUGUCAUAAGGAAGUGAUAUUUGAGUAACAAACAGCAAAUGUACACAAUUAUCUUUCAUUGACCUCUCAAUGGAGGCGAUCAGGAUUUCCUGAUAGUAACCUGUUCAGUGUUCUUGGCACCUUCAAUAUAAGUUUGCUGUGGUCUGAGUGCACGUUAGUUCUCUAACCAUGUCAGGGGAUGCUUAGCACACAUUGCCUGCCUGUAUUUUUUGAAAGAGUACGUAUGCUGGAAAGAAGGAGAAGGAAUGGGUGUGUGUAUGGAAAACUGAAGGCUCUGUGCUCUGCUCUCAGCUUUCACAGUUCCUGAAUCUCUGUGCCUCAGUUUUCACUGAAUUAAAUGAAACUGAAUUGUCUGCGUAAUACAUUGUGAAACUUACUUCCACUUACAGUGCUUUGAGAUCAUGAACAGUAGCAGAGCAACGAAGAGCCACGUUCUGCUGCUGCUGGAGAAUAUCUGAGCUACUGAAAGAGGACACGAGUGACAAUGAAUCUUUUAAUCAGUAGCAUAAUGCAGAAUUAGAAUGCAAUAAAAGUUAAAUAUGGUGCUUUUGCUUCUAUAAUAACUUAAUAACUCAAAGGAUUCUUCAAAAAUAGUCCAGGAAAAAAAAUAUGGGAAACUUUUUGAUUCCUUCUGGAGAACUAAAUAGUCUGUUCAAGUGCAAAUGAAUACGCCACAUCCUUAUGUAUGUGUUCUGAAUGAAGGUGAAUUAGCAGUUCUCCUUCUCCACUCUUUCUUCCAUUUUUCUAACUACAUGAGGAUUAUUUUCAGAUUCAUGUGUUGGUCUUUCUUUAUGUGGCUUAUUGGCCACACUCCUACCAAAGAGAUGUUAUAAAAUUACUUAUUUUAUCUGGAAAUUCUUGGUACAGCAUUAUACAUCUUUACUUUUUUAAAUUAAAUCAGUGAAAGCUUUUCCUGUUCAUCACUUUUAAUGCUUGAGCUCAGAACUGUCUGGCAGAUGAAGCAGAAUAAAUAAAGAAAGAAAUUGGAGCAAUGCAGACCCCAUGGACAAGAGAAUCACUUUACCUCAGGACACUGAGAUAAUUUAUCUGGGUGGCUUAGAAAAAGUGCUAGAUAAGACUGAAGUAUGGAGAGGGUGAGCAAGUCCAGGCUCAGCCUUUUGGAUUAUCAAGAAACAAUUAAAUCCAGCAACUGGCAUCUGAAUAUGUUAAUGUUGUAGGUUCUGACAUGGAACCAGGAAAGUGAAUUUGUAAGGCAGAACAUACAACAGAGAUAAACGCAGUUCUACAUAUAAUAUGUACGUUUUAUGUAUCCAACAUCUUUGCCAAAAUAUGAGUAAUUUGCAAGCACACUAAAGGUAGAAAAUGCCAGAAUAAAGGCUGUCUUUCCAUGUAUAUGCCCCAACAUAAUCUUUAAUUAUGUGAUUCUGGGCUUCAUUUUCUGACCCAAGAUUUUCUAAUUUCAGCACGUGUUUGAAGUGUUUUGUAGUCCUAAUAUUUUCUCUCUUAAAUAAAGACUGAAAUAUAUACCUGAAAUGAAAACUGAAAUAUAUACCUGGGAUAUAUUUCCCCAGGUUUUCAAAAAGGCAUUUGAAAGUCACAGUAUUCCAUCCUAUAACAUCCUCAUGGGUCAUCAGCACAUUGUAACCUUUAUCUGUCAUCACAGAAGUCUUUGGGGCAGCUGUAACUGAUGGUGUGAUGGUGAAGUUUGUGCAGUGAUGAGUGUCAGAUAGGAGGACUGUAAGGUAAAGCAGCACCUGUGCAGAGUUUUAAAUAAGUUAUUUAUUAUUAUUGCUCUCUUCCUCUUCUAUUUGUUAAUGGCCCCUAUUGUGCAACCUAUAUAUCUUGCCUAGAUAGGAGUCACAUGAACUUCACUGACCUGAUUCUGUGCUGCCUUGUACGACAUGCGUGGUCACUUCUACUCUAGCAAACUAAAUUUAAAAUACCAAUUUCUAAUUUGCUAAUAUUUACAAACCACUUUGUUUAUGCAGCUGUGAUGUGUAGCACUGAAUGCACGCAAACACCAUGCAAACCCAGGGCUCAUCCAGAGAGAGAUAUACUUGGAAGUGAUUUUUUUCACCACAGUUAUAAAUCAGAGUAGUUGUUACUAAUUAAAGUCAGGAUUACAUACCUGGUAUUGAAACUGCAAAUUGGAAGUUCUCUCUAAGACCUGGAAACAUCAACGGGCUGGCUUCCAUAAAUAAUACCAGAAGUUAAACAGUGGUUUCACAGUGUCUAGAUCAUAGUAUAAAUAAGAAAAAGAAAGCAGAAAAAUCCAGGAAAUCCUUAGUUAACAAAUGUUUUGUUUUAAAAAUGAUAUGCUUUUCUUGAGCUCUGAGAACCAGCUCCUCAGUAGACAAUGACUCGCUCCGGGUGUUUGGACGGUUCACUCUCAGGCUAUUCAGGGUCAGCCCAAAAGCUCACAGACCUGGCGAAAGGUAAGAAACCUAAGAAAUUCUCAGCUAACAGACCAAGCUUGUAUCAAAAACUCUAAAAUGCCACAAGCUGAUACCAAAUAUUACGACAUUUGGCAGCCUUAGGAGAUUGGAUUAGUGUGGUAUUUUGAACUGAAUAAUCCCAAAGGAUGUUCUAGGGCCAAAUUCAGCCCGGACAUAACCAUAUCAAUUUUAGUCUAUCUGCACCCACUACGAUUUGGUCCUUUUUUUUUUUUUUUGGUGACCAAAAUGCAACGCUGAGAUAUAAACUGAUGUCUCAGUGAAAUUAUCACCGUAAUUUUAAAAGCCAGUUAUUUCAGCUAAAAACAGCUACUAUUUCAGAUAACAGAGUUUCUGCUGUGUUCAUUGUUGGCUUCUAGAGUAAAGUGAGUUGCUCGGAAGCAAAAGGGAGGUAAAUGGGAAUGACUUUGAUAAAGUUUUUUUCACUUAGUAUGCUGAUAGUGCUGGUUCUACGUCUCUGUUAUCCUCAGUCCACCCCAUUCUAAAUUCAGGUCCUGUUUAGGUCACAAGCUUUCCCAUUCUGUCCAAAGCAUCGUCUCUGUCUGGUAUUUAUGACAUAGUCCAGUGGACUGAAUGACCUGUGAGCGGGCCAAGUGCCAGAGGAAAACAUGCUCAGGCUGAAGGCAGCCAAGAAAUGGCCGGACAGUCGCUGGGAAGCUAUGAGGGCUUUUGUCCCAUUUUUGCUUUGUUUGUUUCUUUUUGUAUCUAUGUGAAUUUUGAAAACCAGAAACUCUAGUCAGGGCAAUACACAACUUGGCUAUGUGAAGGUUUGUAUAUUCUGGUCAGCUCACUCCAUAGGAUGUUAACUAACGAUACGACUUGUUUACUAUGUUAUUGUUCAGUGUUUAGGUUUAUUAUUUCUAUGUUUGCAUUACAUACACAUGAGUAACGGCGUCUUGCUUUCGACCGAAAGGUAACCCUGGCUGCCAAGCAAGUUCAGGAAACUUGGUGCUUGCACAGAGCUGACAUAAAAGCGUGGCAGUGGGAAACCAUUCCAUAUCAAAGGGAAGGGUUUUCCUUAUCCUGUCUCAGAGCAGUAGCGAGGCAUUUCAGCAGCCAUUACAAUAAUUUCUGUAUCUCGGGUGGCUCAGAGUUGCUGUAGCAACCUUUUGCUAGAUAGGAAUUUGGCUGGUGAAGCCCCACAGGAAUCUGCUCCCACUCUUGACUAACCUCUCACAUCACCCGUCUCAACUGCCAGGGAGAAACUCCAGCUGUGAGUCAGGCAGGGUGAGGGACCUCUUUCCACAGGUUCCUCAAAUGCCCUUCCCUCAAUUACCAGGAUCAGAUGUUUUUUGGCAAUUUUCCGUGGACGCGGAGCUUGGUCUGAACCCAGUUUGUAAAACGGCCAUAGUAAAUUUUGUGUCCUCAAACAAGCCCUUAUUCAUGAGCUUGCAGAUACAGAAACUGAACAUGCAAAAGCAGGGAGAGCAGUUUUAUAGACCAGUGUGGGAAGUUUGACUGGGAGGCAACAGUAGUUCUGGUGACACAAAAGAAGUAUUGUAAAGUCACUGAGGGGAUCAGGCAGAUGGGAACAGACUUGAGUAGGAAGGAAUACAGACAAGGUCCCCAAAGCCUGUUACUUAGAUUUGGAUUAAAAAAUGAAGUGUGAAGUUGGUCAGAGCGUGAGGGGAUGCAUCACUGCUAAACCAAUUCCUUCAAAAGUGUGAAGAAGUAAUGAAAGACAGUUUUUUGGCCUUCCAAGCUGCUACGUGGUUCAGAGCAAUAUUUGGGAGAUUUUAUUUAUAGAUCAUAUUGCCCAAUGGUUGCUUACAGAGAGUAGACAGUAAUUUUGGACUACUGGAGUUUAUUUCUAAUUCUACAGGUGAUUGGCUUUGUCAAAUUACAGGACCCUGUGUGUAAUGCCUAGAAAACAGCAGGUAUCGUUAUAAUUAAAUGCUUCAUGCUGCUUUCAGUCCCUCUAUUUUCCACCAUCUUAUGGGUCAGAGGGCAGGAGAGGGGAACCAAGUGCAGUGCUGUGAGACCGGCCUGUGAGAUUUCAGAUAGCCAGCUACAAAAGCUACAGCCAUGUCUUGAAAAGGCCCAGUCAAGCAGGCACACUCAGAGCACAGCUGUCAGAUAAGACUGGGUCUUCCUAGGACUGUAUGCUGCCUUCUGCUGUAACUGUUGGAGGAGGAGGAGGUGGCAUAAAUAUUGUUUUCCUUUUAUAUAAUAUGAUUUGGAAACAGCACACAUAGGGCCAGUUCUUUCCCUGGUUCCUAGUCCCUCAGCCCAGGUCUGCUUUAAUGACUCCUUAACAGCCUGUGGUGACUAAAAUACAGCCAUGGAGCAGGAUGAAAUAGACUAUACAUCUAUCAGGUAAAUAAAUCAAUUCUUAAUGCAAGAUUCAACUAUUGCAGAGAUUCUUGUUGUCCACACAGGUCAGUAAAUACAAUAAACUGUUAAAAAAUAGCUACAUUUUGAUUUGUGCAUGCAAUGAUUCUUUUUCACUUCAAAACUUCAAUACGAAUUCCAGAAAGCUACAAACAAACACAGUUCAGUACAGCCUAAAACACCACUUAAUUCUGUAAAAGAAAAAAAAGAAAUAGCACUACUGACAGGUUUGUUGGGCUGCAGGCAGAUGUUAGGCUUCAGAAAGUGGGCCCAUGUAUGGUUACAGUCACUUAAUGUGUCACUGAUUGGCAGUAGGAAGGGCGAGUGGGCUGUCUGAGCUCUGUGCAAUGGACCGUUGCCCUAGUUAGACUUAUUCUAAAUACUCAACAUUAUGGGGUAUUUCACAUAAUCGGGUUUACAGCCUUGGCUCUGUUUCAGGAGUGGGGGCUAAGUUUUUAGUGUAUAUUUUUAAAAAGAGCAUCCCGUUCUUAGGAAUCUAUUCCCAGCUAAAGCACACAAGCUCUGGAAAGGUCAGAGAGAGGCAUCUCUAGCUUUGAUAAAUAAACAAAUCUCUUCUCUGCGGCUGGGAUGUUGUAUUAAUAGCAGUAGAUUUGGUUUCGCAUUGUGGAGCUCCUCCUGUUUCAUUGCUAUUGAAGAUAAGAGAACACAAAAUGUUCUGUCACUCUCCCCAUGAGAAAACAAGCCAACAGGCAGAGGCUAUUAUGUUUUAAGAUAUCACCGAGGCAAAGACUUGGAGAAAGCAAACACUCAGGUUUAUAUUCAGUAGCUACUGGAUACCAUAGCUGGCACAUCAGUGACUCAACGUUAUUUAAUGUCUUACAUGAAAGAGUUUUGCCAGACAAAAUCACUGUAGUAGAAAUAACCUGAAAAUAAGGGUUGAGCCUUGGGCAGAUGGAAGUGUGGAUUUUACACUUUCACUUGUUUCUUAGCAAUUCAGCUGCAGUAAAAAGUAACAGCUCUUUCCUGCUUCUUAACCUAUUCCCCAUUCUGAUGCAAUCUGUUUCACUUUAGUUUGCAAUCUGCAGUUAUUCAGACCUCCAUGACAAUAUACUUGGACUGCAAAAGUUUCUCCAAAAGACUCUAAUUUGACAGUAAGCGUGUGUGAAAUAAAUCAGCUGAGCUACACCUUACGGCUUCUCCACACGCAUUAUUUAUGAAUAAUCAAUUCUAAAAUUCCUCAUGUGGAAUGCUUUAGUUUGGAAUGUGCACUUCUGAAUGCCAGGCAGAUUUAGCUUAUGGUGGUGGAUGAGAAGCAUGAUGGGAAGGAAUGUAGAGUUUAUCCUUAAUUAGCUAUCAUACAUGGCACAUCCAAUUCCCACCCAGCAGCCUACUACGUUAGCUAAUACAUGCUUAAAGCAUACCUCUCAUCCAAAGGGCCAUCUUUUCUGCAGACCAGGCAUCAGUUCAGACAGAAGACAGCCUUCUUUUCUGCAAAUAAGCAUCUUCUGUUGGAGAGCAGAUUGUGAGAGAUGAGUAAAAAUAAACACCAACUGAAUCAGAUAAUUCUCCGAGCGGUUGUUCUCCUUGUCCUUGCAAUGUCACCAGUUCCAGAUUUAUUUCCUUCCCUGAUGCUCAGGUAGAGAAUCUGUUGGGAGGGAGUUCUUCCCGCAGGCAGUCGGCAUUUUGUGAAGCUUCACCUCUACAUGGGAGACAUAAACCAGCCAAAUGACUCAACUGAAAGAAAAAAAAAGAGUUGCAUGCAGUGAGUAUCCUUGUGGGAUAUUUAUACUGCAAGGAAACAAAACUAUUGGUGAAGGCAAAGACACACAACUCACUGAGACUGUCCUCUCCCCAGUGCCACUGUGAGCCAUCUAGAAUGCAACUGUCAGAACGCAGCCUGCUUGGGUCCAAAGGUUCCUGUCCCCUUUUUUUCUGACUUUCAUGGGAAGAAGAGCGUCUCAGUGUAAGUGCAGAUGUUACAUACAUGUCAGUGUUCAUAAGGGAAUGUCAUUUCCAUCUGCAGUACUCGUCGUGUUUUACAAGAAGCAUUACUCAUUUCUUUUAGAUCAGUACAUAUGCAGGUUACUCUUACAGAAUGCCCAAGAAACUGGGCAGAGGCAAUGGACUUCGAUGACUACAGAUGUCUUAAAAAUGAUUGUAAAUGUUCAGAGAAAGUAACAGUUUUUGUAGUUUGGAGGAAAAAAAAACGUUAAUUGUUCCAUAUUGUGGCAUCCUUGUCGUUAGAGAACAAACUCGAAUUUAAUUCUGCCAUCACAGGAAUUUUGGCUGAGUUAAAUGUGAAAAAGGGUUUCAAUUCUGAGCAUGAAAUUUCUUUUCUCUGUGAUUUUGGAUACAACAUAUGCCACAGAAAUGAGGGAAAAAAAACAACCUGAUGUUAGCGUGAGGGCCUUCAGAUCAUUCCAAAGGAUCCUAUGCAUCUCAGGUUUAACACAGGUAGGUUUUGAAAGGGGUGAGUUGUAUUUGUACCUGGUAUCAAUAAGGCUUUAUCUUUCAAGGGGAUUUAAUGGUCAUUAGAGCUGUGUUGUUAAUCAGAUAAUCCAAAUCAAAUUGUUGCACUUAUUUUAAAUUUAAUUACAUCAUAAGCAACUGGAUUUGAAAUAUCUAUUUUUGCUUUCAUAUAUGUUGUUAAGAAAAAUUAAAGCCAUAUGUAACUUGCUACAUUUACCUACUGACCAUUGGAGAAGAAAUGCUAGAAACACAGUGAUUUGAACUGUUCUAAGAAUAUGAUGUCCUCAGAAUGGCUUGUGUUGAAGGGACCCCAAGGAUCAUCACACAAAAGGUAUUAGACGUAUUAUUAGACAUAGUGUCAUUAGAAUACAUUUCUUAAAAGGUAUCAGACAUCAAAUACUUAAUAUGUGAGAAUAAUACAGACACGUAUUAUAACUCCAGUAUUGAUCCAGUUGUUAGUCUUCCUAAAAACCGAAUCAUCUAAAUAAUAUUUUUGCAGCUUAACUUUUUAAGUACUGAUCAAGUACAAUUCAAGACUGAUAUUACUGACUUCAAUCUAUUUGAACGGCACCUGCAAGCUGUGGUGGCAGCCAACAGACCCCCAUUAAGUAAGCAAUAAUAUAAUUGUUCUGCUUGACAAGGUCAUAAUGUGAUUUCUGGUUCUAUAUUCACAGAUUAAGGCUAUUCCAAGAAGACACAUAUUCAACAUCACCAUUUUACUAUAGCAGAUCUUCUUAAAAUGUCUCUUUUCUUUCAAGAAUGAAGCCUGUUCUCUGAGUUGCAGCUGGAGAAUGAGGGCAGCUGAGGCCACUCCAGAUCUCAGGAGAUCAAUAGUGUUACAGCUGAUGAUCUAAUUACGGAUUAUUUGGGUCAGACUCUGUUCUCCUAGGUGUGACUUGGUUGACUUAGAAAAGGUUAAUUCAUUCAUUCUGUAGGGGUUAUAGCAUAAAUGAAUUAUAAUUGUUAUCCUGUUACUCAUUAUAGAAGCCUAAUAUUCCCUAUAAGCAGAUGUUCUGAUUUUAUAGCAUUUUUUUAAUAAACAAUUAUACAUAUCUUAAAGAAAAAUGCUGUUAACAAAGCUUCCUUUACACUGUGCAUCCAUCAAUCUUGCAAAGGUUUGUAUGAAAAACAGGCCAUUGUAGUGCGUAUCAUUCACUAUGUCAUACCUUAAGCUGGCCAUAUAACUGAUAUGUAAUGAAGCAGCUGUGCUCUUACAGCUAUUCGUGGCUAUAAACUGGAUAACAGAGUUAAUAAUCAUCCUUUACCAUGAGACUGGUACAGCCUGACUGUGCAGACCCACAAGUAGUGCUAGCAGAAUGGGAGAAAUGUUUUCACAAUAAUUACAAACUGAAUUAGACAAAAGUGCUACACAGAAGGGCAGACCCACCUCUUUCAGGCUACCUGUUGUUUCUUUCCCAACUAUUCAGCAACGUGUAUUGCUGUAUUCCUGUCUCAUCUAAUCUAUCAAAUCUAACUAUCUAUUCUUUAACUGAUCCCACUCAUCUUAAUGGAGACCUUUCUCAUUCAUUGACAACAACUGCAGUAAUAAUUAAUCUUUAAAGAAAUACACAAACAGCAUCAGCCUGCAUACCGUAUCAUACAGGUACCUUUGUGGACUUGUGUUUCCAUGAUGAGAGGCUGCAAACAACCUUUGAAAAAAGGGUUUCAGAUGGGUUAGUUCUCCAGAACUCUUAUUUUUCAUGCUGGAAAAUAACAUCUUGUCAAUGGAACGUGCCUUUUGAUGCCUCUGCUUCUGACUUACAAGCUGGGAGAUACUGCUGCUGGCGCUGUCUAAUGGUGGGGUUUGUUGUGCAUGGCGUGCAUGUGCGUCCAGUUCUUCUUUUGCAACAGUGAUUUGUGAAGUUUGAUUUACUGUAUGCCUUGUAGAGGCUAAUUGUAAUGCAUGGAAUAAUACUUUCCAAGUAAUACUUUCCUUAAACAACCAACUUCUCACUACUGUUGUAUUGGAGGAAUCCUGUUUUUGAAGUUCUGUCCGAAGCUCUGCGCCGUCUUUACAAUGCACUGCAGCUGAAGAAGCCCGCUCUGAUAUUUGUUGACCUUCUUUUAGUUUCCAGGUGCCAAAUAUUGCAGGAUCCAAUUUCCUGGAAACCUCAUUCUCAGCGUAUUCAGGGAGCAACCACAGUAUGUGCAGUGAGAGGGCGGGCUUAGCCCAUGGUUACUUACUGUGUACUUUAUCUCUGUCUGAUAGUCACCCUCAACUUAAUUAGCUGGUGUUGUGUUUGGUUAUUCAGUAUUUAUGCAUCACUGAAACAAUAACAUUGCAACCCACGCUAUUUGUUGAAUGCCUUUCAUAAAAACCCUGUGUACUCAUAUGGAUUGUUUCAAAGAUAAAUUGUGCCAGCACCGUGUAUUUGCAGGUAAAGUUUGGCUCUGAUGCAGCUGCUGUAUCAAAGAAAUAUGCCCUUAUUAUUAAACUCCAGUAUCCACACCUUUCCUUGGAGAAUAUAAUGCAGCACUGAGCCUGCUGUGAAGAGUACAUCCCAUUCCAAUGGAAUUACACAGUAAUAAGCUGAAUAUCCAGUAAGUAAGGGGAACAUUUCCAUCAAAGCUAUUUGGGUUCUUUUGUGUUGUUUGUUUGAAGCAUUUCUUUUUUCCUUCCAGAAAGUAUAAGUUUAGUUUGGAAAGGGUUAAUUUUGCUUUUGAUUUUUUCUUUUGUGAAAACUCUGAUUUUUCAGAUCUCUUCAAGAAAUGAUAUGAACGUUUAAUUCCUUUGUGUUGUUGAUGCUGAAUAUUUUUCAUGGGGAAAACAUGUUCAUGUUCCCCCAUAGUUUACACUUGUAGCAACAAAAGUUCAAUUUUUAAAGCCAAACUUAUCAGAAUAAAUAGGAUCUAUCACCAUUGAGUGGAUUAUUCAUUAACGGAGGUGACCCUGGAUUUGGUCUCACAUAUAAAAGCACAAUUUAGUGCUCCAGUGCUAAAUCCACUGCCUGUGUAUAGAGAAGAUCUAAUUCCAACUGAUUCCAACACAGCGCUGUGCUGAGGAGUUUCCCAAGCAAGCAGGAGCAGCAGCUUUGACCACAGCUGGCCAGGACCAUGAACCAGGUGCACAAACUCUUUUGUUCCUUACCAUGUUUAAAGCCAGACAGCUUUUCUUCAUGUGCUUUCACAGUCACGUCUCUUUACGUUUUUACUGGAACACUGAAUAUUAAAAAUCUCUUCAUUUCCUUUAAAUGUUUAAGGUGUUACCUGUUGGGUUUUUUUUCUGCUUUUUCAGCUACACUCCAAAGUAGAGACUUGUAAGAGGCUGAAAAUGGGAGCUGGACACGUACAGAUAAGUUACCCUAAAAUUAUGUCUGCUGCUAUAUAAUGAAGAGAUGUAAUCUCUGUUGUUUCUCUCUUGGACUGCUUCUCCUGAUAUUUCUCUCUGUGACUGUAAGAAGAUCUUUGGGUAUCAAGAAGUCUCAUAUUCAGUCUGACCAGCUCCAUGAGCACAGCAAAGGGAGAUGUGACGCUUCUAAUGUUUUCAAACUCCAUGUGAAAAUUUAAUUAAAAGCUCCUUCAGAAAAAUGA
This is a non-coding RNA of Coturnix japonica (Japanese quail), 19218 nucleotides long. Lineage: Eukaryota; Metazoa; Chordata; Aves; Galliformes; Phasianidae. The record is from RefSeq and is a predicted model, not a curated record.